This 600-nucleotide ribosomal RNA is filed under the name Streptomyces sp. OUCMDZ-726. RNAcentral describes it as "bacterial SSU rRNA". It matches the Rfam family "Bacterial small subunit ribosomal RNA", at positions 90 to 704 of the family's 1533-position model. The record is from RNAcentral. Lineage: Bacteria; Bacillati; Actinomycetota; Actinomycetes; Kitasatosporales; Streptomycetaceae.
GAUUAGUGGCGAACGGGUGAGUAACACGUGGGCAAUCUGCCCUGCACUCUGGGAUAAGCCCGGGAAACUGGGUCUAAUACCGGAUACGACACUCCGAGGCAUCUUGGGGUGUGGAAAGUUCCGGCGGUGCAGGAUGAGCCCGCGGCCUAUCAGCUUGUUGGUGGGGUAAUGGCCUACCAAGGCGACGACGGGUAGCCGGCCUGAGAGGGUGACCGGCCACACUGGGACUGAGACACGGCCCAGACUCCUACGGGAGGCAGCAGUGGGGAAUAUUGCACAAUGGGCGAAAGCCUGAUGCAGCGACGCCGCGUGAGGGAUGACGGCCUUCGGGUUGUAAACCUCUUUCAGCAGGGAAGAAGCGAAAGUGACGGUACCUGCAGAAGAAGCACCGGCUAACUACGUGCCAGCAGCCGCGGUAAUACGUAGGGUGCGAGCGUUGUCCGGAAUUAUUGGGCGUAAAGAGCUCGUAGGCGGUUUGUCGCGUCGAUUGUGAAAGCCCGGGGCUUAACCCUGGGUCUGCAGUCGAUACGGGCAGGCUAGAGUUCGGCAGGGGAGACUGGAAUUCCUGGUGUAGCGGUGAAAUGCGCAGAUAUCAGGAGG